UUCAGCUCAACCACCGAGAGAAAGAAAAACAAUGACAAACAAGACUGGUCACUUGUUUUGUCUCACUUUAGCCGAGAGAGAGUAGAGAGAGUUGAGAGGAAAUUUUGUGCCAUGCUUCAACCUUCCAGCCGAGAGGAGCUUGAGAGAAGAAUAACGAAAUUUCUUGUUUUGCUUCCACUUCAGCCAAGAGGAACCAGAGAAAGAAACUUAAAGGAAGCUUGUGUCUUACUUCCAUUUCCAGCUUGCUUGAUCGGGUAGAAGGACCAAACAGGGGAGUUAACUUCUAGCUUGCGUCAAAGGUAACAUGACUUGGAAUUUCAAUUUCUUUCACAUACUUUAGAGGGCUUUUGAUAUAUGUUUGGUUGAGGUUGGAUUGAGGUAGAAACAGGUUGUAGAGACUUACUUUAUUGCGGAAAUUUUCCAGCUUGGAUUGAACUAGGAAUAACCAUUUGUUUUCUAGAUUUUGGCUCUUGUUUUGUGCAAGUUACUAGGGAAUCCUUGAAUCCCUUUUGCUAGAUGAAGCUUGAUGUAAAUAUAGCAUCCAUGUGAGCUAGUGGUUGCUAAAAUGAAAUUUCCAGAUUUGACGAGGAGAAACAUGAGCUCAAUUUACAGCUUUUCUUGUGAAAUUUUGAGGCGUUCCACUAGGAAGUUUUGCUAUAAAUGUUAUAUUUCUUGUUUCGUAUGAUAUAUAGCAUGUUGUCUUGAUCUUGGUAGAAAUUGCUGGCUUAGAUGUGAGAUUGGCAGCAGUAAAGUUGAAGUAACUCUUGUGAAAGCUUGAAAUUGUCCGAAGUGGAAGAGAGGAAGAGUUGAGCUUCACCUUUGGUUUUUGUUGAAAUUUGAUGCUGAAAUUAUGUUAAAGUUGCUGAUAUGAAUGUCAUACUGAAGUGUAUGAGUGGUUUGAAUAAAUUUUUGUCAUUUUAAAAGAGAAAAGGAGUUUUCACAAGUGAAAAAUGAGUUUCCAGAUUUCGGCUUUCACUGACCAGUCUCAGUAAAAUGCUUAUAUCUUGAUGUAGAAAAAUCCGAUUGAGGUGCCGUCAGUGGCAUCGGAACUAGACUCAUGGCCCUUCGUUCUAUAAAAAUUUCAUAUUUUUCCUCCUGGUGUACUGCUGUCCGUGAUUCCUCAAAGUAGGCUGUCCUGCUUGAAUGUCCUAUUUUUGCAGGAAAAUGAAUUUGUAACUUAGAUGAUGAAUCUGCCCUGUAUGGUUACCCAUAGUUAGAGGCCGAAUUGGCCUUAGCACAAAACAUGAAAGUUGUAGGGAAUGAUAUUUUAGAGAUUCUGCGAAAUUUCAGGUCAAUCGGAGUAGCGUAGCUUGUGAAAGAUGGAAUUACCCUUGCUGUCCUGUUUCUACCCGAACUUGAGAACUGCGAUUGUAAUUGGUUAAUUUGGUUGGGAAUUCUUCAGAAUUGGUUAUUGAGGUCUUCUGAUGAAAUGUAGCCCUGUAUCUUAGCUUUCGGAUGGCUUUGGAAUUACUGGAUUUAGACUUAGGUAGCCUGAUUUAGGAUGUUGCACCAGAAUGCAUUUUGUGAACCUAUUUUUCCGGUUCUGGUGUAGUAUAUUGCAUUUUUGACCUAGUUAAACUCAAAACUGGGCAGAGUGACCUUCUUCAACACUGUAGCCCUAUCUCUUAGCUUCGAAAUGGUGGGUCCUGGACCUUCAUCGAUAAUCGUAGUGCUUUUGGUGCCAAAACCGCAAAAUGAUGUCAAAAACUAUUUUUUGGGUUAACACUUAACCCCAUUUCCGGAUUUUUCUGGUUUCCUCUAAUGCUUAUGGAACCCUAUUUUGAUAGUAUUUGGCAUUGGUUUAUGGCUCGUUAUCGAGUCUUAUUGUACUUGUUUGCAUGUUUUAGGGCGUGACGGUGGUUUACGACGCUCCUUUGACGGAGGUGUAUGAAAUAUCAUUUUCAAACUUGGUGAGUGUACUACACAUGGGUGUUACUAUAUGGCUUUAAUACUUGAACUUGAUGCGUUGAAUGUUUACUGCACCAUUGAUAUUGAUUGAAGGGAGGGUGUACUUUAUCACUCUCACUUAUAUGCCUUAUAUCAUUGUUUAUCAUGUUAUUGGAAUGUUACAUGAAAUGAAAGUACUUGACUUGGUGUCGUUUGGAGAGUAUCCAACGACCAAGAUUUGUUAUCAUUGAGCUCAACCCCAUUGGUAGUUGAUUGAAUCGAGCCGGCGAGGGCUUGGUCGUGCCAAUUAAUGAGCCUUGGGGACUGUUAUAUGGAAUCUUAUAGUAUGAGAGACUCUCGAUUCCGGUAUACUCGAGUAAUACCACAUUGCAAGUGUUUGGAGUGCAGGCCCGGUAGGGGAAUGUUAGGUGGACGGAAUGGAAGUAAAGUGGAGCCUACGGUUGGUUACUUUUAAAUAUUGACGGAGGGUCAAUGAAGUCCGAUCAAGUAUACAAACGAGGAAAGGGGCUCUUGAGAGCCGUCCGUAUCCUUUUAUUAAUUUAUUGAAAUAUGACCAUGGCUUACUUUCUUGUGGAAUGCAAAUCUCAUGCUUAUAUGAACUUGGUUGCUUGAGUGGUAUUAUCUCACUGGGCGUAAGCUCACCCGAUUCCUUUUGUUUUCCUUACAGGAAAUAAACACUUUUGAAUGACUUUUGAUAGUUGGUUGCCGAAUUGAGUUAGUUGGACAUAUCUUUUGUAUAGCUCCUUGAUUGAAACCCUAAAUGUACUUUUGGGUCUGUUUCUCUUUUGAUUUGGCAAACCGUACAUGUAUCCACUUUGGAAUAAUUUUGUAUGCCACUUUGGAUUGUAUAUGCUUAAUUUCAACAUGUAAAUAUUUGCUUGAUGUUCGGUUGGAUUUUGACAUGUCGGUUACUAUUCAUGGCCGACUCCGGCUUCAUUUUUUU
This 2851-nucleotide long non-coding RNA is filed under the name Coffea arabica (coffee). Its description in RNAcentral is "long non-coding RNA (CARA_LNC005919)". The record is from RNAcentral. Lineage: Eukaryota; Viridiplantae; Streptophyta; Magnoliopsida; Gentianales; Rubiaceae.